GGAGUUAGCCGGUGCUUCUUCUGUGAGUGAUGUCCUUCCUGCCGGCUAUUAACCCGCAGGCCUUCUUCCUCACUGAAAGUGCUUUACAACCCGAAGGCCUUCUUCACACACGCGGCAUGGCUGGAUCAGGGUUGCCCCCAUUGUCCAAUAUUCCCCACUGCUGCCUCCCGUAGGAGUCUGGGCCGUGUCUCAGUCCCAGUGUGGCUGAUCAUCCUCUCAGACCAGCUACGGAUCGUCGCCUUGGUGAGCCGUUACCUCACCAACCAGCUAAUCCGACAUAGGCUCAUCCGAUAGCGCGAGGCCCGAAGGUCCCCCGCUUUCCCCCGUAGGGCGUAUGCGGUAUUAGCCUGGGUUUCCCCAGGUUAUCCCCCACUACCGGGCAGAUUCCUAUGCAUUACUCACCCGUCCGCCGCUCGCCACCAGGGAGCAAGCUCCCCGUGCUGCCGCUCGACUUGCAUGUGUUAGGCCUGCCGCCAGCGUUCAAUCUGAGCCAUGAUUAAACUCUGA
This 507-nucleotide ribosomal RNA is filed under the name uncultured bacterium. RNAcentral's name for it is "partial 16S ribosomal RNA". The record is from RNAcentral.